Molecule: unclassified non-coding RNA, 213 nt
Filed under: plant metagenome
Description: partial contains small subunit ribosomal RNA, internal transcribed spacer 1, and 5.8S ribosomal RNA
Source: RNAcentral
UUACCGUAGGUGAACCUGCGGAAGGAUCAUUCAUAAUAAGUGUUUUAUGGCACUUUUUUAAAUCCAUAUCCACCUUGUGUGCAAUGUCAGGGUUGAUUUUUCUCUCGAGAGGAUCAACCCCAAACAUCAACUAUAUCUCAACUCUUUGUCUGAAAAAUAUUAUGAAUAAAACAAUUCAAAAUACAACUUUCAACAACGGAUCUCUUGGCUCUC